This is a long non-coding RNA of Amborella trichopoda, 635 nucleotides long. RefSeq lists it as uncharacterized. The record is from RefSeq and is a predicted model, not a curated record. Lineage: Eukaryota; Viridiplantae; Streptophyta; Magnoliopsida; Amborellales; Amborellaceae.
UCGUUUUGUUUUGCCAUCUUAAUUCACGUGUCAUGGACACAGGGUAUUUAGUAGCCCUCACUACCCUCCCUCCCAUUUUAACCCUCUCCAGCUCUCUCUUAAAUUAACAAAUUCACAGCUCAAGAAGAGGAAUGGCUACAGCAGUUGCUGGUUUCUCCUUGAAUAAACAAAUCCCCCAUCAACGCAUUAUAGAAGAGGCAACAGAUUUCGCAAACAAAUCGCCACCUCACUGCAAACUUCACGAACAGAUAAUGUGUGCAGGUGAGACAUGGAGAUAAAGUUCAUCAGAAGGCAGCCACUUUCGCUCUCUAGGAAUCAAGAUGAAACAGCUCCACGAGCAGACAAGCCCGAACCGCAGGAGAGAUGAGGAAGGAAUUCGCAACCCCACUCUCUUUAACACCAUUAACAACCAACGAAACUCUCUCUCUAGGGUAAUUGCAGUCUCAUAGUUCGAAUGCAGCAGGACCGUCUUUGAAGAAUUUAUAGGCAUGAUUGUACUGCCCCUUGUAACUUAUGAUCAAAUGCAACAUUGUAAUUUUUGUUCUAUCAAGAGAUGUAUAUAUCUAGUCCUUUAUGAUAAUAAUUGUUAUGAGUAGACUUUGCACAAAUUAAAAGAAAUGGAAAAAUCUGUUUUA